Molecule: long non-coding RNA, 224 nt
Filed under: Lathyrus oleraceus (garden pea)
Lineage: Eukaryota; Viridiplantae; Streptophyta; Magnoliopsida; Fabales; Fabaceae
Description: Pisum sativum (pea) long non-coding RNA (PSAT_LNC001410)
Source: RNAcentral
ACACUGCAAAAUGAAUAAAGGUACAAUUUGUUCAUACCACUCAUUUUCUUAAAUACAAGUGGUACUUUAAAAGAAAUACUAAAACACCCACUAAAAACUUUGUCUACACAUUUCGGAAAAAUAUGAAUUAGUUCUAACAAUUUCCACCCAAAUUAAUAAGAAUGGUGUUAUUAAAUUAGUUACAAACUAGCUACAAUUUCUGGAUUUAGAUAUGAUGUUAAUAU